UUUUCCUACGGGGGGCAGCAGUGGGGAAUAUUGCACAAUGGGGGAAACCCUGAUGCAGCAACGCCGCGUGAAGGAAGACGGUUUUCGGAUUGUAAACUUCUGUUCUUAGUGAAGAAUAAUGACGGUAGCUAAGGAGCAAGCCACGUCUAACUCCGUGCCAGCAGCCGCGGUAAUACGUAGGUGGCAAGCGUUGUCCGGAAUUACUGGGUGUAAAGGGAGCGCAGGCGGGAA
RNAcentral lists this ribosomal RNA (231 nucleotides) under uncultured bacterium. RNAcentral's name for it is "partial 16S ribosomal RNA". It matches the Rfam family "Bacterial small subunit ribosomal RNA", at positions 334 to 581 of the family's 1533-position model. The record is from RNAcentral.